UCUCUCGGAACCAGUUCAAUGUCGGAUAUCCGAGCGUGAACAACGCUGCGGGAGCGUCAAACAUUUGUUUCGCUUGAUUCCAAUAAACAUUUCCGAAGGUGUGAAUUAGUGAAUUUGUAAACUCGUGAAUAUCAAAUCUUUCGUAAUCAAAACAUUUAAAUCCGGCAAACAGAAUCAUUCGCGAUGGCCGUCGCGUUGAUUGGACUUAUUUUUUUCUUCUGCUUUUUGUCAUAUCGUAUUUACGUGCUCGGCCGACGGCGGUAUUUCGUUGGCAAAAUACCGGGACCAAGUGGUAUUCCGAUAUUUGGAAAUAUAUUCAAUUUUCUCGUUCCGAUAGCUGACCUCUGGGGGGUGGUGCACGGGAUGAAUGACGAUUACUAUCCAACUUACAAAAUAACGACACCUUUGUGGACCGUCCUAAACCUUCGUCAUCCCGACGAUGCAGAGAUUCUUUUAUCAAGCACGCAACACAUUACGAAAAGCGCGCUGUACGAUUUCCUUCAUCCUUGGUUCAAAACCGGUCUUCUAACGAGUACAGGUGGGAAGUGGCAGAAACGACGCAAGAUACUCACGCCCGCAUUUCAUUUCAAUGUUUUGAGGGAAUUCGUCAACGUUUUUGAUGAGGAGGGUCGUCGAAUGGUUCGAGACCUGAAAAAUGCUGGGGAAAAGGAGCAUGAUUUGUUACCAUUGGUUACGAAAUACACGCUCAAUACGAUUUGUGAAACUGCCAUGGGUACAUCACUAGAAGGAAUGACAAAGUUUCACACGAAAUAUCGAAACGCCGUUCAUGAAAUGGGAAAUUAUCUUCUCCACAGGCUACUGAGACCGUGGCUGCAUCCACCAAGCAUAUUCAAUCUUUCGCCAACCGGUCGAAAACAAAAAAAAGCUUUAGAAAUAAUCCAUGCCUUUUCCAACAAAAUUAUUCGUGAACGUCAAGAGUACCAUAAAGAGUCUGGAAAGGACCCGAUGCAGCAGAAAGAAACGUUUAAUGAUGAUAAAAGUGGAAAAAAACGUUUGGCCAUGCUGGAUCUUCUCAUAGCUGCGAAGAACGCGGGUCACAUGGACGAACCCGGAAUCAGAGAGGAAGUAGACACCUUUAUCUUCGAGGGACACGACACAACCGGGAUGGGAAUAGCUUUCAUUCUCUUGCUUCUGGCUGAACACAAAGACGUUCAGGAAAAAGCUCGAGAUGAAAUUGAUGCUGUACUCGAUGGGAGUGGAGGAAAGAUGGAACCGUACGAAAUUCAACAAUUCCAGUACCUCGAUUGCUGUAUUAAAGAGUCACUUCGAUUAUAUCCGAGCGUGCCCUUAAUAUCGCGGUACAUCAAGGAAGACUUGCAUUUGAACAAAAUUUGUGCAUAACAUCGAUGAAUUUUUCAAGUGAAGUGCCCGACCAAACUAGUGGUCGAUAUUUCGACCAGAUCCGUCCUUUAAAGAGAAUUACUUGAUUCCCGGAGGCGUUGUGGCUCACAUACACAUCUACGAUCUUCAUCGAGAUCCGAAUUUCUGGCCCGAUCCCGAUACUUUUGAUCCAGAUAGAUUUUUACCCGAACACUGUGUCGGGCGACAUCCUU
Molecule: unclassified non-coding RNA, 1574 nt
Filed under: Venturia canescens
Lineage: Eukaryota; Metazoa; Arthropoda; Insecta; Hymenoptera; Ichneumonidae
Description: cytochrome P450 4C1-like, transcript variant X2
Source: RNAcentral